RNAcentral lists this ribosomal RNA (253 nucleotides) under uncultured bacterium. Its description in RNAcentral is "partial 16S ribosomal RNA". It matches the Rfam family "Bacterial small subunit ribosomal RNA", at positions 524 to 776 of the family's 1533-position model. The record is from RNAcentral.
UACAGAGGUCCCAAGCGUUGUUCGGAUUCACUGGGCGUAAAGGGUGCGUAGGCGGUUUGACAAGUCUGAUGUGAAAUCUCGGAGCUCAACUCCGAAACUGCAUUGGAUACUGUCGGGCUAGAGGAUUGGAGGGGGGACUGGAAUUCUCGGUGUAGCAGUGAAAUGCGUAGAGAUCGAGAGGAACACUGGUGGCGAAGGCGAGUCCCUGGACAAUACCUGACGCUGAGGCACGAAAGCUAGGGGAGCAAACAGG